Molecule: long non-coding RNA, 653 nt
Filed under: Olea europaea subsp. europaea
Lineage: Eukaryota; Viridiplantae; Streptophyta; Magnoliopsida; Lamiales; Oleaceae
Source: RNAcentral
AAGUUUCAAUAAUCAAAUAAAUUAUAUGCAAAAUAAACAACAAUAUGGUUCGACAUUAUUAUAACUUUGGCCCAACUCUGAAUAAUUUUUCAUUACAAUCAACAAUAAAUAGUAACAACAUUUUCUUUCGUAGAUAAAAUAAGAGACUAACAAAUAUUACAUCAAAAACACAUAUCUUGGCAAAACUAUCAUCUAACAAAAACGAAAACUCAUAAAGUCCAUCUAAUCAACACUAGAGACACACUAACAAGAAGAAUUCAACCAAUUUUUUGGCACAAUCAACAUAACAAUUAACAAUUGUUGGCAAAACCAUAAUAAACCUUUGCCUAUCAAAGAUGGAAUCCCUCAAUAGAAACUAUAUCAAUUUACCCAAAUACAACUCUUGAGAAAAACUAAUCUUGAAAUACUACUAAAAAAUUAGUAAAGGAAAGACAUCACAAAAAUUAGCUAAUGUUGAGAUAGUGAUUCCUUCCGAGUAAACCAUCAAAUCUUGAUCCUAUCCGCAUGAUUUUAGUCAAAUUUCAUGAAGAUCGGCCCAAAAGCGCUAAUAUAUCAUUGUUUCAUAACAGCUACCAGGCUGCCCGAAUUUUGUGAAUUUCUACAUUGUUUCUUUUGGGUUUCUCACAAUUUUGGGGCUAACUGGUGUCUCUCUC